RNAcentral lists this unclassified non-coding RNA (407 nucleotides) under soil metagenome. RNAcentral describes it as "partial contains 5.8S ribosomal RNA, internal transcribed spacer 2, and large subunit ribosomal RNA". The stretch from base 1 to 120 matches the Rfam family "5.8S ribosomal RNA", at positions 35 to 154 of the family's 154-position model. The record is from RNAcentral.
GAUGAAGAACGUAGCGAAAUGCGAUAAGUAAUGUGAAUUGCAGAAUUCAGUGAAUCAUCGAAUCUUUGAACGCACCUUGCGCUCCUUGGUAUUCCGAGGAGCAUGCCUGUUUGAGUAUCAUGAAGUUCUCAACCUUUUCAGCCUUUUUAAGCUGAUCAGGCUUGGAUAAUGGGAGUGUUGCAGGCUUCACAGAAUGUCUGCUCUCCUUAAAUGCAUCAGCUGGAAUCUUUUGUUGGCCAGCCUCUGGGUGUGAUAAUUAUCGAAACCCGUGGCUGCUACAUCAUCCUCUGCUUGAGGAGGUUCUGCUUCUAAUAGUCUCUUUCUUCUGAGACAAACCUUUUGACAACCUUUGAUCUCAAAUCAGGUAGGACUACCCGCUGAACUUAAGCAUAUCAAUAAGCGGAGGA